UAGGGAAUCUUCCGCAAUGGGCGAAAGCCUGACGGAGCAACGCCGCGUGAGUGAUGAAGGUCUUCGGAUCGUAAAACUCUGUUAUUAGGGAAGAACAAAUGUGUAAGUAACUAUGCACGUCUUGACGGUACCUAAUCAGAAAGCCACGGCUAACUACGUGCCAGCAGCCGCGGUAAUACGUAGGUGGCAAGCGUUAUCCGGAAUUAUUGGGCGUAAAGCGCGCGUAGGCGGUUUUUUAAGUCUGAUGUGAAAGCCCACGGCUCAACCGUGGAGGGUCAUUGGAAACUGGAAAACUUGAGUGCAGAAGAGGAAAGUGGAAUUCCAUGUGUAGCAGUGAAAUGAGCAGAGAUAUGGAGGAACACCAGUGGCGAAGGCGACUUUCUGGUCUGUAACUGACGCUGAUGUGCGAAAGCGUGGGGAUCAAACAGG
Molecule: ribosomal RNA, 429 nt
Filed under: Actinomycetes bacterium
Lineage: Bacteria; Bacillati; Actinomycetota; Actinomycetes
Description: Actinobacteria bacterium partial 16S ribosomal RNA
Rfam family: Bacterial small subunit ribosomal RNA
Source: RNAcentral